GCCAUCGGGCAUAUUUGGAAUUGCGCAGCAGUGGCGAAGCGAAAUAUACAAAUUGAACUAGAGCCAU
This 67-nucleotide non-coding RNA is filed under the name Chaetoceros curvisetus. The record is from RNAcentral. Lineage: Eukaryota; Bacillariophyta; Thalassiosirophyceae; Chaetocerotales; Chaetocerotaceae.